Gossypium arboreum is the source of this 263-nucleotide long non-coding RNA. RefSeq lists it as uncharacterized. The record is from RefSeq and is a predicted model, not a curated record. Lineage: Eukaryota; Viridiplantae; Streptophyta; Magnoliopsida; Malvales; Malvaceae. The transcript is spliced from 2 exons.
CGUGUUAAAGUAAGUAGAAAUACUCAUGGUCAGCCUGUUGGAUCUGAAGCUCGACUUUUAGCAGGCUAUUUGGGCAUUUUAGCACGAAAUGCAAAUAUGUUGCCCAUCAACUACGAAUCAUGGCAUCACAUGCCUAAUAGCAACAAAAAUCAGGCUCUCGCUAAUAUUAAGGAGAGAUUUGCUUUAGAAGUCUCCGAUGAUUAUAUUAAGAAGGCAUUAGGUAAAAGAUGGAGAGACAAUAAAAGCACUUUAAAGAAACAAUA